Molecule: ribosomal RNA, 253 nt
Filed under: uncultured bacterium
Lineage: Bacteria
Description: partial 16S ribosomal RNA
Rfam family: Bacterial small subunit ribosomal RNA
Source: RNAcentral
UACGGGAGGAGCGAGCAUUAUUCGGAAUGAUUAGGCGUAAAGAGCUCGUAGGCGGUUUGUCGCGUCUGCCGUGAAAGUCCGGGGCUCAACUCCGGAUCUGCGGUGGGUACGGGCAGACUAGAGUGAUGUAGGGGAGACUGGAAUUCCUGGUGUAGCGGUGAAAUGCGCAGAUAUCAGGAGGAACACCGAUGGCGAAGGCAGGUCUCUGGGCAUUAACUGACGCUGAGGAGCGAAAGCAUGGGGAGCGAACAGG